UAACGCGUAGGUAACCUGCCUUGUAGCGGGGGAUAACUAUUGGAAACGAUAGCUAAUACCGCAUAACAAUGGGUGACUCAUGUCAUUUAUUUGAAAGGGGCAAAUGCUCCACUACAAGAUGGACCUGCGUUGUAUUGGCUAGUAGGUGAGGUAACGGCUCACCUAGGCGACGAUACAUAGCCGACCUGAGAGGGUGAUCGGCCACACUGGGACUGAGACACGGCCCAG
This 228-nucleotide ribosomal RNA is filed under the name uncultured bacterium. RNAcentral's name for it is "partial 16S ribosomal RNA". It matches the Rfam family "Bacterial small subunit ribosomal RNA", at positions 111 to 334 of the family's 1533-position model. The record is from RNAcentral.